RNAcentral lists this ribosomal RNA (368 nucleotides) under bacterium a18(2011). RNAcentral describes it as "SSU rRNA". It matches the Rfam family "Bacterial small subunit ribosomal RNA", at positions 401 to 761 of the family's 1533-position model. The record is from RNAcentral.
GUGAGUGAAGAAGGUUUUCGGAUCGUAAAACUCUGUUGUAAGGGAAGAACACAUACGAGAGUAACUGCUCGUAUCUUGACGGUACCUUAUUAGAAAGCCACGGCUAACUACGUGCCAGCAGCCGCGGUAAUACGUAGGUGGCAAGCGUUGUCCGGAAUUAUUGGGCGUAAAGCGCGCGCAGGCGGUUCUUUAAGUCUCAUGUGAAAGCCCACGGCUCAACCGUGGAGGGUCAUUGGAAACUGGAGAACUUGAGUACAGAAGAGGAAAGCGGAAUUCCACGUGUAGCGGUGAAAUGCGUAGAGAUGUGGAGGAACACCAGUGGCGAAGGCGGCUUUCUGGUCUGUAACUGACGCUGAGGCGCGAAAGCG